Molecule: long non-coding RNA, 227 nt
Filed under: Nicotiana benthamiana
Lineage: Eukaryota; Viridiplantae; Streptophyta; Magnoliopsida; Solanales; Solanaceae
Description: long non-coding RNA (NBEN_LNC007755)
Source: RNAcentral
UUGGUCAGGGAAAAGCCUAAUUUCUUCAAUCUGAACUUUAAAACAGAUUUCACCAAGUUCAGAAAUCACUUCAUGAGUCCAAAAACCCGUGUGAGAAGGACAUCAAGCCAUCUCUUCAGCGAAUAUGAUAUAAAAAAUGAAUUGUACUGCACAAUAGAAGCAAUUAGAAUGUAGAAGUGUGGGUUCAAUAACAACAUAUGUGUGCACUUCAAACAAUGCACUAAAAG